ACGUAGCGAAAUGCGAUAC
RNAcentral lists this non-coding RNA (19 nucleotides) under Arabidopsis thaliana (thale cress). The record is from RNAcentral. Lineage: Eukaryota; Viridiplantae; Streptophyta; Magnoliopsida; Brassicales; Brassicaceae.